RNAcentral lists this ribosomal RNA (945 nucleotides) under Nesterenkonia sp. J11Y305. RNAcentral's name for it is "bacterial SSU rRNA". It matches the Rfam family "Bacterial small subunit ribosomal RNA", at positions 86 to 1043 of the family's 1533-position model. Lineage: Bacteria; Bacillati; Actinomycetota; Actinomycetes; Micrococcales; Micrococcaceae. The record is from RNAcentral.
GUUGGAUUAGUGGCGAACGGGUGAGUAUCACGUGAGUAACCUUCCCUUAACUCUGGGAUAAGCCCGGGAAACUGGGUCUAAUACCGGAUACGACCAGUCCUCGCAUGGGGUGCUGGUGGAAAGAUUUAUCGGUUUUGGAUGGACUCGCGGCCUAUCAGCUUGUUGGUGAGGUAAUAGCUCACCAAGGCGAUGACGGGUAGCCGGCCUGAGAGGGUGACCGGCCACACUGGGACUGAGACACGGCCCAGACUCCUACGGGAGGCAGCAGUGGGGAAUAUUGCACAAUGGGCGAAAGCCUGAUGCAGCGACGCCGCGUGCGGGAUGACGGCCUUCGGGUUGUAAACCGCUUUCAGCAGGGAAGAAGCGAAAGUGACGGUACCUGCAGAAGAAGCGCCGGCUAACUACGUGCCAGCAGCCGCGGUAAUACGUAGGGCGCGAGCGUUAUCCGGAAUUAUUGGGCGUAAAGAGCUCGUAGGCGGUUUGUCACGUCUGCUGUGAAAGCCCGAGGCUCAACCUCGGGUGUGCAGUGGGUACGGGCAGACUAGAGUGCAGUAGGGGAGACUGGAAUUCCUGGUGUAGCGGUGAAAUGCGCAGAUAUCAGGAGGAACACCGAUGGCGAAGGCAGGUCUCUGGGCUGUUACUGACGCUGAGGAGCGAAAGCAUGGGGAGCGAACAGGAUUAGAUACCCUGGUAGUCCAUGCCGUAAACGUUGGGCACUAGGUGUGGGGGACAUUCCACGUUUUCCGCGCCGUAGCUAACGCAUUAAGUGCCCCGCCUGGGGAGUACGGCCGCAAGGCUAAAACUCAAAGGAAUUGACGGGGGGCCCGCACAAGCGGCGGAGCAUGCGGAUUAAUUCGAUGCAACGCGAAGAUCUUACCAAGGCUUGACAUGGACCGGAUCGCUGCAGAGAUGCAGUUUCCUCUUCGGGUCGGUUCCCAGGUGGUG